CCUUCGGGUGGCUGCAGUGGGGAAUAUUGGGCAAUGGGCGCAAGCCUGACCCAGCAACGCCGCGUGAAGGAAGAAGGAUCUAUGGUUUGUAAACUUCUUUUAUAUGGGAAUAAAGUGAGGAACGUGUUCCUUUUUGUAUGUACCAUAUGAAUAAGCAUCGGCUAACUCCGUGCCAGCAGCCGCGGUAAUACGGAGGAUGCGAGCGUUAUCCGGAUUUAUUGGGUUUAAAGGGUGCGUAGGUGGUUAAUUAAGUCAGCGGUGAAAGUUUGUGGCUCAACCAUAAAAUUGCCGUUGAAACUGGUUGACUUGAGUAUAUUUGAGGUAGGCGGAAUGCGUGGUGUAGCGGUGAAAUGCAUAGAUAUCACGCAGAACCCCGAUUGCGAAGGCAGCUUACUAAACUAUAACUGACACUGAAGCACGAAAGCGUGGGGAUCAAACAGGAUUAGAUACCCCUGUAGUC
RNAcentral lists this ribosomal RNA (460 nucleotides) under uncultured bacterium. Its description in RNAcentral is "partial 16S ribosomal RNA". It matches the Rfam family "Bacterial small subunit ribosomal RNA", at positions 338 to 795 of the family's 1533-position model. The record is from RNAcentral.